AAGGCGACGAUGAAUAGCCGGCCUGAGAGGGUGAACGGCCACACAGGAACUGAGACACGGUCCUGACUCCUACGGGGGGCAGCAGUCGGGGAUAUUGCACAAUGGAGGAAACUCUGAUGCAGCGACGCCGCGUGAAUGAUGAAGGCCUUCGGGUCGUAAAAUUCUGAUGUGAGAGACGAAGAUAGUGACGGUAUCUCACCAGCAAGCACCGGCUAACUACGUGCCAGCAGCCGCGGUAAUACGUAGGGUGCGAGCGUUGUCCGGAAUCACUGGGCGUAAAGGGAGCGUAGGUGGUUAUAUAAGUAUUUAGUAAAAGGCAUGGGCUUAACCGAUGUAAGCUAGAUAAACUGUAUAACUUGAGUACAGUAGAGGUAAGCGGAAUUCCUAGUGUAGCGGUGAAAUGCGUAGAUAUUAGGAGGAACACCAGUGGCGAAGGCGGCUUACUGGGCUGUAACUGACACUGAGGCUCGAAAGCGUGGGGAGCAAACAGGAUUAGAUACCCUGGUAGUCCACGCCGUAAACGAUGAGUGCUAGGUGUCGGGGGUUUAGAUACCCUCGGUGCUGGAGUUAACGCAAUAAGCACUCCGCCUGGGGAGUACGAUCGCAAGGUUGAAACUCAAAGGAAUUGACGGGGGCCCGCACAAGCAGCGGAGCAUGUGGUUUAAUUCGACGCAACGCGAAGAACCUUACCAAGGCUUGACAUCCUCUGAUGUACCUAGAGAUAGGUUGGUCCCUUCGGGGCAGAGUGCAGGUGCUGCAUGGCUGUCGUCAGCUCGUGUUGUGAAAUGUUGGGUUAAGUCCCGCAACGAGCGCAACCCUUGUGUUUAGUUGCCAUCAUUAAGUUGGGGACUCUAGACAGACUGCCGGUGACAAACCGGAGGAAGGUGGGGAUGACGUCAAAUCAGCAUGCCCUUUAUGCCUUGGGCUACACACGUGCUACAAUGGUCUGUACAAAGAGAAGCGAUACUGCGAAGUGGAGCGGAUCUCAUAAAGCAGAUCUCAGUUCGGAUUGCAGGCUGAAACUCGCCUGCAUGAAGUUGGAGUUGCUAGUAAUCGUAGGUCAGCAAUACUACGGUGAAUGCGUUCCCGGGCCUUGUACACA
Molecule: ribosomal RNA, 1102 nt
Filed under: uncultured bacterium
Lineage: Bacteria
Description: bacterial SSU rRNA
Rfam family: Bacterial small subunit ribosomal RNA
Source: RNAcentral